RNAcentral lists this ribosomal RNA (482 nucleotides) under uncultured soil bacterium. RNAcentral's name for it is "bacterial SSU rRNA". It matches the Rfam family "Bacterial small subunit ribosomal RNA", at positions 26 to 522 of the family's 1533-position model. The record is from RNAcentral.
AGGACGAACGCUGGCGGCGUGCUUAACACAUGCAAGUCGAACGGUGAACUCUGCUUGCGGGGGGAUCAGUGGCGAACGGGUGAGUAACACGUGGGCAACCUGCCCUCAGCUCUGGGAUAACUCCAAGAAAUUGGGGCUAAUACUGGAUAUGACUGCUGACCGCAUGGUCUGGUGGUGGAAAGAUUUAUCGGCUGGGGGAUGGGCCCGCGGCCUAUCAGCUUGUUGGUGGGGUAGUGGCCUACCAAGGCGACGACGGGUAGCCGGCCUGAGAGGGUGACCGGCCACACUGGGACUGAGACACGGCCCAGACUCCUACGGGAGGCAGCAGUGGGGAAUAUUGCGCAAAUGGGCGAAAGCCUGACGCAGCGACGCCGCGUGGGGGAUGACGGCCUUCGGUGUAAACCUCUUUCAGCAGGACGAAGCGAGAGUGACGGUACCUGCAGAAGAAGCACCGGCCAACUACGUGCCGAGCAGCCGCGUAA